This 208-nucleotide ribosomal RNA is filed under the name uncultured bacterium. RNAcentral describes it as "partial 16S ribosomal RNA". It matches the Rfam family "Bacterial small subunit ribosomal RNA", at positions 568 to 774 of the family's 1533-position model. The record is from RNAcentral.
CGCGUAGGCGGUUAUUUAAGUCGGAUGUGAAAGCCCUGGGCUUCAACCUGGGAACUGCACUCGAUACUGGGUAACUAGAGUACGAGAGAGGGAGGUAGAAUUCCACGUGUAGCGGUGAAAUGCGUAGAUAUGUGGAGGAAUACCGGUGGCGAAGGCGGCCUCCUGGCUCGAUACUGACGCUGAGGUGCGAAAGCGUGGGGAGCAAACA